Canis lupus familiaris (dog) is the source of this 4661-nucleotide long non-coding RNA. RefSeq lists it as uncharacterized. The record is from RefSeq and is a predicted model, not a curated record. NCBI's taxonomy places the organism in Eukaryota, Metazoa, Chordata, Mammalia, Carnivora, Canidae. The transcript has 3 exons.
CUCAGGCUUUGGAAAUCCAGGGGGUUCUCAGAGCUUAUUUUGUCCAUGGAGGCCUGGUCCCUGGUCCCCGGCUUUCCCAUCUCCAGAAAUUGGACCUCCUGUAACUCCAACCCGGUUGCACGGAGGCGCGCCUGCCGUCGACGCAUGCAGCUGGCUGGUGCGGCUCUUCAUUGAAACGGAGCACCUGCCCGGUUUUGUGCCUUUGCAUAAUGAGGACACGUAGCAUAUUCGAAGUGGAGGUGGCCUGAUUCUCUGCCCCUGGGGCUAAUGCGGCUGUUUAUACGGAGGAGCCAAGGCCGAUCCUUCAACCGGAAGGUGCGCUGUCCUGCAGGCUGAAGCAUUCACACCGGCCCUGCUGCUGAUUUGAAACCAUGUUCAGCAGUAACCACCGGCUAAGGCUCUGGAAGACAAACUCCUCCUAGUAGCGUGUCUCAUCCUACGUGUAGGACGGAGGCCACAGGAGCAGAGAUGUGCUUCUUGCCCCAGUUGCUCCUUUGGGCACAAGGAUGGAUGGCCUCUGCGAGUUACAUCCUGAUGACCUAGGGGUGUUACAGUCACGAUGGCACCAUAUGCAUCGCUGUGAACUAACGAGGACAGAGCAAAGGCUGGCCCAGGGAUGCCCCCUUAGCAGGUGAGGGCCAUGCUAUGUGAGCAGAAACUUGGUAGAGACGAGUGGUGGGGCCUCGUCCCACGCACACAGUAGGGCCAGGAGAAUCUCACGGGAUCUGGCUGUGCUGUGGCAGGUAGCCAUGCGUGCCGGGGUCAGGUGCAAAUCCAGUAUGAGAAAGGCUGCGUGAUUUUUCAUGUUAGAUUAAUGUUGUUAAUUCACUUCUGGUUUUAGGGCUUAUUUCUUAAUCUGUAAUGGUGUUUUUGUUUGCCAUCAGAUAUAAACGAUAAGCAGGGGACAUUUAUACUUCCUUUGGUUUGUAUAGAUGUAAGCAACAUUCAAAUAUAAUAAGGUAAUAUCGGGGGCCUGUGGAAAUCUGCUUUAAGGGGGUCCUAGGCUCUUCUGAGUUUGGGGAAUUAUAGCAUCUGCUCUGUAGAAGCUGGUUUUAUGUGCCCUGAUUUGGGUCCACAGAUCUCCCCACCCCCACCUCCUUGGUAUGUGGGAGGUUUGGGGGCAAUCCCAGCAAGCCCCAGGCUGGACAGCAUUGAGGGAGCUUAUCUGACACUGGCCUAUCCUCUGCCCCUUGGGUUGAAACAGAAGUUAUCUUUGAAGAUUUUUUAGGCAAUAAUUAACUGUAAUUUCAGGGGAAGGAGAUUUGGUCAGUUUCUACACAGUGCAAAUUGGCCUUCCCUAUCUGUCUUGGAGGGAGCUUUGUGUUCAACUCUGUUAUCGGGCGCUUUCCUGGAAGCAUUGUUUCCCAUUUCAAUAUAAUUGCUUCAAAAUAAUGUGAAGAGAUCAAUUGCCACUUGUCAGCUAUAAUUUUCUGCCACUGAAAAAAAGUAAUGUGGGAGGAAAGCAAACUAUAAGAUGCCUUAUUAACCACAACAGAGGGAGGGGUGAAGCUGCCUCUUCCUCCGAGAGGGGCUCAUCUGUGAGUGCCCCAUCCGUUCACCUUGUGUCCCUGCGGCCCUCCCCACCUCGAACCUACGCCUGCGGCUUCUCUUCCUGGCCAGAUCCUGCCCGUCCUUCCAGGGCCAGCUCUAAUUCCAGGCCCCAAACAUCAUCCAGACCUCUCCUUCCUCCCCGAUCCUUGGUUUACCCAACUCUUAAUGCAUUUAUUUGACAAAUACUGAUUGAGCACCGACGUAUAUGUGGGAAGGCUUUGGGCAGCAACAAGACACAAACCUCAGGGUUUAGACAAAGAAGUGUUGAUUUUCCUCAACAAAAGGUGUCUGUGGACAGAUUGGGAGUCAACCUCUCAGGAUCUCUGGUGGCCUUCCAACAGACGUGGCCCCCCUGGUUAUUCCCAACCCAGCCUCUGGGCACCAAAUCUUCAUUUGAAGCAGGAAGAGGGGGGAACAGAGGUGUCUUCCACGAAGGUCCCUUUGGUUGGGAAUCCCAGCAUUUCUCAGGACUCUUGGCAGAGUUUGUAAAUCAGCUUCCUUGAGGUAUGAUUGACACAGCAAACUGUACGUAUGUGACCUGUACCUUUUGAUCAGUUUUGAGAAGCGUAAACACGUGGAACUAUCAUCAUGAUCAAGAUGGCGAGUGUAUCCUCUUCCCCAACAAAAUCUUUUCCAGAAGCUUACCACCCACUCUGAAGAUUUAGACAUUUUUUGUUUCUGUUUCGUUGGCCAAACUUGGUCCUAGGGCCACUCCUAACUGCAAAGGAAGCUGGGAAUACAGUGCUUUGGUUUCCAGAAGACAAGGGAAAGGGGAUAGAGUGCCAAUGUUGGGCCAGCUAAUGAGUCCUGUCUGCCCAACCUACCGUUCCAAAUGGAGAAAAGACUUGUCACGCAGCUGGUGGUCAGUGCUCUCAGACUCUUACUUGGCAUGACCUGGCUGUAUCAGUGCUCCAAUGUUAUAGUAAACGGCCAGGCUGCUCUGCACUCUUCCCUUGAACUUAAAAUUAAAAGAACAGAUUCCCUCCUUUGCCCCAGUUGCCUACCCAUCUACCCAAGCUAAGAUGAAGGAAGGGAACUGAAUCAAUGUUCACCGUGUACUUCCUAUACUGGAUGUUUCCUGGGUGUCCCAUCCUUUCGACGACUCUGUGUACAUGGCGUGGGAAGUGUGAGUUCUCUCAUCUUUUACCAAAUGAGGGAAUUGAGACCCAGAAGCGGCUCGCGUGGAAUGGCACAGCUCAUAAGUCAGCAAGCCACGGGCACGGCCAGCCCAAGACUGUCACCUGUUCUCUUUCUUUCCAAAGGAAUCCAUGCAGCAGGCUUGGAAUGACAUAGAAGGUGUGGAUUCAUGGUCUGACUCCCUCAGGCUCAGAGAGGUGAGGUGACCUGCCCCAAGUCUGCAGCUAGAGAGAAGCAAAUCUGGAAUCAGAGUCCUCAUCUGCUGGUCUCCUGGUCGUUGUUUGUUCUGCAGUGCCCAGCACCUGGCUGUGGUGUCAAUGGGGGAAAAAGGCCAAGGAAGGGCAGGAAGCAGUGACCAAUCCCAGGGAAAGAGGACUCCAAUAUUCAGCAUAACUUGGCGCUUUGAACUGGCUGCAGGCCCUCACGAGCCCUUCCCACCCCACAGGUCCCCCCUCCCUCUCUAACGCAGGGAUCACUCAGCACCUCCCGAAGGCCACUGAUGCUGGGCUGGUUCCUGACACUGCUUCUGGAGGAUCUGCAGUGCAGACGUUAGGAGUGGGAACAGACUCCCUGAACUGGAAUCUUGACUGGCUGUGUGAGCUUGGGCAAGGCAUACAACCUCUCUGUGCCCGUUUCUCCACCCAUGAAAUGGGGACGAUUGUCCCACUGCUUCUGUGGGUCUGCUGUCUCAUUGGAGGUAGCAACGUGUUCCUGGUGUGUCACCCACAGUCAGUACGGGUGAGCCAUGGCGGGGAGCAUGGAGGGUAAGAACUGGGGGUGCAGGGUAAGACCCCACUCAUCUCCACAGAAGGCCAGGUCCAUACAUUCAGGCACCCUCAGGUGACUUUCCCAGGCUGUCCCCAACCUGUUGAUGCAAAACCCUGUUUGUGACACCUGCCCAGGGAGACCUGACCACCUGGGGCUUCUGGUCAUGAUCAGUCAGCAUUGUGCCAACCUACUUUAGUCCUGAGUCUGAGAAUUUGGGACACUACACUCAGAAGGGUGGAGGCACCCCUGAGCUUUGGGAUAAGAGUUUAUUGCUAGUGAUUGUACUUACCCAUCCACUAGGGGCCUUUCCUUUCUUUUUCUUUCUUUUCUUUUCCUUUCUUUUCUUUUCUUUUCUUUCUUUUCUUUUCUUUUCUUUUCUUUUCUUUUCUUUUCUUUUCUUUCUCUUUCUUUCUUUCUUUCUUUCUUUCUUUCUUUCUUUCUUUCUUUUUUCUUUCUUUCUUUCUUUCUUUCUUUCUUUCUUUCUUUCUUUCUAAAUUUUAUUUUACUUAAAUUCAAUUAACACCGGGGUCUUUUACAGAGAGUGCAAGAUUCUCAAAGAAGACAAGGCCCUAGAGGAGAGGCCGUGGGAAAUGCUUGCAGAGGCAAGAAAUUGUCCUUCCUGGGAACUGUCAAGAGAUCUCAAAGCAGGGAAACCCUCCAGACUGGUCAAUCCUGCCUUCUCAAUAAACAUAUCAAGUAGGUUUCUUGGAGUAAGACCAGGCAUUGAAAGAGAGAAAGAGAGAGAAGAUCCAAAGUCAAAACCAAUUUGAAUAGGUUGCAUGCUGUGAAUCUCCCUGACUGUUCCCGUGACAGGUGACAGCCGGGUAAGCUGCAGGAACCCCUUUAGGGGACCACCUCUCUGGUCCUGGGUGUGGGAACUCUGGUCUCAUCAGCCUCGGGUCAUCAGCUCACUGGUUGCUGGGAGGGGCUCAACAGGGCACGCCGGGUCCUGGCCUUUGUUUUCCCCUCUGGAUAAUGGGGCUGGUCUUCGUGGUGCUCAAAUGGAACCAGGGAGCCUGGAGCAGAGCCCUUAAUGAGGGCCGCUGGAUGAUGAAAGAGCCCUGAAGCUCCAGCCACCAUCCCUGCGCUUUGGAAUAAAUGCGGCCAGCUUGGGGGACGCGCACAAAUAAAUUUGAAUAGCAAGACACAAAUGCGGCCCUUAACUCCGACGAGCAAAUAGAGUUUAAUAAAGAGGUAAACUGAGA